AUUGAACGCUGGCGGCAGGCCUAACACAUGCAAGUCGAGCGGAUGAAGGGAGCUUGCUCUUGGAUUCAGCGGCGGACGGGUGAGUAAUGCCUAGGAAUCUGCCUGGUAGUGGGGGAUAACGUCCGGAAACGGGCGCUAAUACCGCAUACGUCCUGCGGGAGAAAGUGGGGGAUCUUCGGACCUCACGCUAUCAGAUGAGCCUAGGUCGGAUUAGCUAGUGGGUGUGGUAAAGGCCUACCAAGGCGACGAUCCGUAACUGGUCUGAGAGGAUGAUCAGUCACACUGACACUAAGAAACAGUCCCGACUCCUACGGGAGGCAGCAGUGGGGAAGAUUGGACAAUGAGCGAAAGCCUGAUCCAGCCAUGCCGCGUGUUUGAAGAAGGUCUUCGGAUUGUAAAGCACUUUAAGUUGGGAGGAAGGGCAGUAAGUUAAUACCUUGCUGUUUUGACGUUACCAACAGAAUAAGCACCGGCUAACUUCGUG
RNAcentral lists this ribosomal RNA (484 nucleotides) under uncultured bacterium. RNAcentral's name for it is "partial 16S ribosomal RNA". It matches the Rfam family "Bacterial small subunit ribosomal RNA", at positions 30 to 507 of the family's 1533-position model. The record is from RNAcentral.